RNAcentral lists this ribosomal RNA (840 nucleotides) under Triticum aestivum (bread wheat). RNAcentral's name for it is "partial small subunit ribosomal RNA". The record is from RNAcentral. Lineage: Eukaryota; Viridiplantae; Streptophyta; Magnoliopsida; Poales; Poaceae.
AUGGUAAUGGAUGGCUUUUUUAAGGAGGGUGAAGUAAGCAAAGCAUGUGAUCUAUUCCACGAAAUGAUACAGCAGGGGGUUGUGCCUACUGAGGUGACAUAUAGCUCCAUUAUCAAUGCGCUAUGCAAAGCAAGAGCAAUGGAUAAGGCAGAGCUGAUCCUUCGACAUAUGGUUCAUAGUGGUGUCCAACCACAUGAUAGGAUAUAUAAUACCCUGAUCCAUGGGUUUUUAACUUCGGGUCAGCAGAAAGAAGCCUUUAGGUUGUUGAAACUGAUGACAAGCCAAGGUGUUAUGCCAAACGUUGUGACUUGCAACUCAGUCAUGGACUACCUUUGCAAGCAUGGAAGAGUCAAAGAAGCUGCAGAAAUAUUUUAUUCCAUGGUUGUGAAGGGCCAAAAACCUAAUGUCAUCUCAUACUCUGUUAUGCUCCACGGGUAUGCUAAAGAAGGAUCCCUUGUUGCUAUGAUUGAUCUCUGUGAGCUGAUGGCAAGAGAUGGAGUUGUUCCCGACCGCUCUUUUUUCAACAUACUGAUUAAGGCAUAUGCUAAAUAUGGAAUGAUCGAUGUGGCUAUGCUUUUCUUUGAUGAAAUGUUGAAGCAGGGGGUGAACCCUAAUGAUAUCACAUAUUUAACUCUGAUAUCUGCAUUUUGCAAGAUGGGCAGAAUGGAUGAUGCUAUGAUCAAAUUCAAUGAGAUGAUUGAUAUGGGAAUACCACAUGAUACAACUGUUUACAUGUGCAUGAUUGAGGGCUAUUUGAAUCAUGGUGAUUCCGUCAAAGCCAAGGAAUUCAUUACUAAAAUGAAGAGCAGGGAUGUUUCUCAUAGCCCACGGAAGGGUAAU